GGGGCACAGUCCAUGAAACUGUACAGAUCACAUCUCUCUGGCCCUGGGAAUCCUAUCAACGUUUCCCUCCCAGAUGUCCUUAUUCUAGUUUAAGUGCCUCAAGACCUGAGAACUCCAGGCGUGGGAAAUGUGGAUUUGCCACGGUGGGAUCCUGCUGCAUCGCAGCUCAGGUGCAGAAGGUGGCAGACACCUAGACUCCUGACGUAACUUGCCCGGAAUCAGAGAGUGUGUAAUAUUAAUGUGCUAUCAGAAACAAACAGCAGAAAGCAAGUCGGAGGUUAUAACCCAGUGGUGAAGCGACUGCUACCAUGGUCAAGGACUUGGGUUCCUUCUCCAGCCUCACAAACAAAGCAGAACAACCCUAAUUUGGAUAUGCUGCACUGGUCAGAAGUUAGCCAAAGACUUCAGCGGCAGAGCAAAACAUGACAAAAUCUAUUACUACAAGAUCAUGAAAGCCCCCAAACUAAUGCAAGGGGGACAAAUGAAUCGCCAUGUACAAGUCAUGGUUACUGGUGGGAUUUCAAAAUCAUGUGGUCCUGAGUUAAAGUCCUCCCCCUCCCCCUCUGAGCUCUAAGCAUGACUGGACUCACUGGAGCUGCAAGGAGUACAAACUCGCUCUUGCCAACACAAACUCUACCAGGGAGGGGGUAUUUUUAUAAGGACAACAGUGCUGUUCAGAGAAUGAGAAGAAGAGCUGGAGCUUGGCCCACUCCAGAGAUCUUGGCAGGAUGCUCAGCAUCCUGCGUCUUGAGGACACUUCGCUCAGACAACCCAGCUCCUGAUGGCAUUUGAGUUCUGGGCUGCAAUCUCCACUCAGAACGCAAGUUUUCAGAGUAGCGCUUCUGACUGGCCUGUCUAGGAUGUGUACUUUAUCUGUGGACUGUAGACAGAGCUGAGACUUACAGACUAGGAGAAAGGUUGAUUCUCUGAGGAAGGAAAGCAGAGCCGACCAAAACAAAUCAGAUCUAUUAUAUUAUCUUUCAGUUAUCUCAUCAUGGAAAUGGACAUAAAAACACAGAUCUGGUAGGACUGUUUUGAAGAUGAAUGGAACAAGGAGAUGUUUGCCAAAGUGCACACCACAAGACCUGGCCCUUUCUAAGUGAUAAUGGCAGCCAUUGUUAUGACUUGUAUGGGAUGAAUCAUAUGACACCUUUAAAAGAUCUGACUCUAUCUUCUGUAGGCAUGGAUUUGAGUCUGGAGUUCUCCCCAGGACACAUUUGCCUAAAUAUCGAUGGUGAAAUGAAUAGACAUUUGGAUG
This is a long non-coding RNA of Peromyscus maniculatus bairdii (prairie deer mouse), 1258 nucleotides long. RefSeq lists it as uncharacterized. The record is from RefSeq and is a predicted model, not a curated record. NCBI's taxonomy places the organism in Eukaryota, Metazoa, Chordata, Mammalia, Rodentia, Cricetidae.